GCCUAACAGCUAGCCCGCCCCCCAAAAUUAAACUCACCACCAUCAAUAACCCCACAUACACUAAACAGUACAAAACAAACCAUUUUCCCCUCUUAGUAUGGGAGACAGAAAAGAGCUCCGGCGCAAUAAUAAAAGUACCGCAAGGGAAUGCUGAAAGAGAAAUGAAACAACCCAGUAAAGCCUAAAAAAGCAGAGACUAAACCUCGUACUUU
RNAcentral lists this ribosomal RNA (212 nucleotides) under Hemigymnus melapterus. RNAcentral describes it as "partial 16S ribosomal RNA". The record is from RNAcentral. Lineage: Eukaryota; Metazoa; Chordata; Actinopteri; Labriformes; Labridae.